This 472-nucleotide ribosomal RNA is filed under the name uncultured bacterium. RNAcentral describes it as "SSU rRNA". It matches the Rfam family "Bacterial small subunit ribosomal RNA", at positions 26 to 518 of the family's 1533-position model. The record is from RNAcentral.
AGGAUGAACGCUGGCGGCGUGCCUAACACAUGCAAGUCGAACGUCCUGUCUCGCAAGAGGCAGGGAGUGGCGGACGGGUGAGUACCACGUGGGUCAUCUACCGUGAGGUGAGGAAUACCGGCGAGAAAUCGCCGACAAGACCGCAUAGGCUCGAUGCAAGUCGAGCAAAGCUCUUUCGAGAGAGGGAGCGCCACACGAGGAGCCUGCGCCCGAUUAGCUAGCUGGUGGAGUAACGGUUCACCAGGGCGACGAUCGGUAGCUGGUCUGAGAGGACGAUCAGCCACACUGGGAUUGAGAACGGCCCAGACUCCUACGGGGGCAGCAGUGAGGAAUUUUCGUCAAUGGGGGCAACCCUGAACGAGCAACGCCGCGUGCAGGAAGAAGGUUUUCGGAUCGUAAACUGCUUUUCUCGGGAAGAGAAUGGACGGUACCCGAGGAAUCGAGCCCCGGCUAACUACGUGCCAGCAGCCGC